Molecule: non-coding RNA, 110 nt
Organism: Acanthosepion pharaonis
Lineage: Eukaryota; Metazoa; Mollusca; Cephalopoda; Sepiida; Sepiidae
Source: the annotation of a GenBank genome assembly
UAGCCAUAUCACGUUGAAACACAGGGUCCCGUACGAACAUCGAAAUUAAGCAACAUCGAGCUUGGUCAGUACCGAAAUGGGUGACCACUUGGGAAUACCGGGUGCUGUAA